UACGAAGGGGGCUAGCGUUGUUCGGAAUUACUGGGCGUAAAGGGCGCGUAGGCGGUCCUGAUCGUCGGAUGUGAAAGGCCUGGGCUCAACCUGGGAACUGCAUCCGAUACGGCGGGAUUGGAGUGUGGGAGAGGUUGGUGGAAUUCCCAGUGUAGAGGUGAAAUGCGCAGAUAUCAGGAGGAACACCGGUGGCGAAGGCGGGUCUCUGGGCCGAUACUGACGCUGAGGAGCGAAAGCGUGGGGAGCGAACAGG
Molecule: ribosomal RNA, 253 nt
Filed under: uncultured bacterium
Lineage: Bacteria
Description: partial 16S ribosomal RNA
Rfam family: Bacterial small subunit ribosomal RNA
Source: RNAcentral